Molecule: ribosomal RNA, 253 nt
Filed under: uncultured bacterium
Lineage: Bacteria
Description: partial 16S ribosomal RNA
Rfam family: Bacterial small subunit ribosomal RNA
Source: RNAcentral
UACAGAGGUCUCAAGCGUUGUUCGGAUUCAUUGGGCGUAAAGGGUGCGUAGGUGGCUUUGUAAGUCAGUGGUGAAAUCUCGGAGCUUAACUCCGAAACUGCCAUUGAUACUGCUUAGCUUGAAUCAGGUAGAGGUGGAUGGAAUAUUACAUGUAGCGGUGAAAUGCUUAGAUAUGUAAUAGAACACCGAUUGCGAAGGCAGUUCACUAUGCCUGCAUUGACACUGAGGCACGAAAGCGUGGGGAUCAAACAGG